GUCGACUCUAUUUCUAAAUUUAAGAAAGAAUUAAAAAACGAUAGUCUAGUAUGUAAAAUUGAAACGUUUUAUUUGUACGGCCCAAGGAAAUUAAAUAUUAUCUUAACGCAAUUGCGAUGUUCCGCUUCAUCCUUAAACAAUGACCUAUUUAGAGCUAACAUUAUAAAUGAUCCCUCUUGUCAUUGUGGGUCCGAUAUUGAGGAUGUCUACCAUUACUUUUUCGUUUGCCCAAAAUACACAUUAUGUAGGAAAAACUUAUUCGAUAACCUUAACUGGCUAUCUGAAAACUUUGUUUUAGAUACAAAACUAUUAAUUUGCGGACACUUGGAACUUUCGAACGAACAAAAUAUUCAAAUUUUCAAACAUGUUCAGAAUUACAUAAAAAGGUCAAACAGAUUUCUUAUGCCUUGAUAGAGCGUUACUAUUGCUGACACAGGACGUCAAUCGUGCCAUCAAUCCACAAGUCAUCGUCACAGAAGUAUACGAUUUUUCAAACUUUCUUUUUCCUUUUUUACUUUGUCUCUUCUUUGUUCACCUAUGAAAGCUAGUAUUAUAUUGUAUAAACUGUUUGUUUUAUAUGCAUGUCCAUUAUAUUAUACUAUUA
This 604-nucleotide long non-coding RNA is filed under the name Mytilus galloprovincialis (Mediterranean mussel). The record is from RNAcentral. Lineage: Eukaryota; Metazoa; Mollusca; Bivalvia; Mytilida; Mytilidae.